This 468-nucleotide ribosomal RNA is filed under the name uncultured bacterium. RNAcentral's name for it is "partial 16S ribosomal RNA". It matches the Rfam family "Bacterial small subunit ribosomal RNA", at positions 28 to 507 of the family's 1533-position model. The record is from RNAcentral.
GGCGAACGCUGGCGGCGUGCUUAACACAUGCAAGUCGAACGGAAAGGCCCUGCUUUUGUGGGGUGCUCGAGUGGCGAACGGGUGAGUAACACGUGAGUGACCUGCCCUUGACUUUGGGAUAACUUCAGGAAACUGGGGCUAAUACCGGAUAGGAGCUCCUGCUGCAUGGUGGGGGUUGGAAAGUUUCGGCGGUUGGGGAUGGACUCGCGGCUUAUCAGCUUGUUGGUGGGGUAGUGGCUUACCAAGGCUUUGACGGGUAGCCGGCCUGAGAGGGUGACCGGCCACAUUGGGACUGAGAUACGGCCCAGACUCCUACGGGAGGCAGCAGUGGGGAAUAUUGCACAAUGGGCGGAAGCCUGAUGCAGCAACGCCGCGUGCGGGAUGACGGCCUUCGGGUUGUAAACCGCUUUCGCCUGUGACGAAGCGUGAGUGACGGUAAUGGGUAAAGAAGCACCGGCUAACUACGUG